GAUGAACGCUGGCGGCGUGCCUAAUACAUGCAAGUCGAGCGAACAGAUGAGGAGCUUGCUCCUCUGACGUUAGCGGCGGACGGGUGAGUAACACGUGGAUAACCUACCUAUAAGACUGGGAUAACUACGGGAAACCGGAGCUAAUACCGGAUAAUAUAUUGAACCGCAUGGUUCAAUAGUGAAAGACGGUUUUGCUGUCACUUAUAGAUGGAUCCGCGCCGCAUUAGCUAGUUGGUAAGGUAACGGCUUACCAAGGCAACGAUGCGUAGCCGACCUGAGAGGGUGAUCGGCCACACUGGAACUGAGACACGGUCCAGACUCCUACGGGAGGCAGCAGUAGGGAAUCUUCCGCAAUGGGCGAAAGCCUGACGGAGCAACGCCGCGUGAGUGAUGAAGGUCUUCGGAUCGUAAAACUCUGUUAUGAGGGAAGAACAAAUGUGUAAGUAACUAUGCACGUCUUGACGGUACCUAAUCAGAAAGCCACGGCUAACUACGUG
RNAcentral lists this ribosomal RNA (497 nucleotides) under uncultured bacterium. RNAcentral's name for it is "partial 16S ribosomal RNA". It matches the Rfam family "Bacterial small subunit ribosomal RNA", at positions 28 to 507 of the family's 1533-position model. The record is from RNAcentral.